UAUAUCAGAACUGUGGGGACACAGGGGGAGAGCAUAACCGCGGCAUGGAGCUGCGGGCAAGCGGAAGAGGAGCCUGAUAGGAAAAACCGUCAAGCAAUCCAAAGCCGUGAUGCGGACCGAACUAAAGUAGGGAAGUAUGUGAGCCAACUGUCAAGAAAAGCCGCUAUUGUGUAUACAGCACCCGUACCAUAAACCGACACAGGUGGAUGAGGAGAGAAUCCUAAGGCCGACGGAAGAAGCAUUGUCAAGGAACUCGGCAAAAUGACCCCGUAACUUCGGGAGAAGGGGUGCCUCGCAAGAGGCCGCAGAGAAUUGGCCCAAGCAACUGUUUAGCAAAAACACAGGUCUAUGCAAAACCGUAAGGUGAGGUAUAUGGGCUGACGCCUGCCCGGUGCUGGAAGGUUAAGAGGAGAGGUUAGAGCAAUCGAAGCUUUGAAUUUAAGCCCCAGUAAACGGCGGCCGUAACAAUAACGGUCCUAAGGUAGCGAAAUUCCUUGUCGGGUAAGUUCCGACCCGCACGAAAGGCGUAAUGAUUUGGGCGCUGUCUCGACAAUGCAUCCGGUGAAAUUGAAGUACCAGUGAAGAUGCUGGUUACCCGCGCCAGGACGGAAAGACCCCAUGGAGCUUUACUCCAGCUUGAUACUGGGAUUCGGUACUGCAUGUACAGGAUAGGUGGGAGGCUAUGAGCCGGUGACGCCAGUUGCCGGGGAGCCGCUGUUGGGAUACCACCCUUGCGGUAUUGGAUUUCUAACACGCCGCCGUGAACCGGCGGGUGGACAAUGUCAGGCGGGGAGUUUGACUGGGGCGGUCGCCUCCGAAAGGGUAUCGGAGGCGCCCAAAGGUUCCCUCAGAAUGGUUGGAAACCAUUCGCAGAGUGCAAAGGCAGAAGGGAGCUUGACUGUGACACCGACGGGUGGAACAGGUACGAAAGUAGGGCUUAGUGAUCCGGUGGUAUUAAGUGGGAAUGCCAUCGCUCAACGGAUAAAAGCUACCCUGGGAUAACAGGCUUAUCACUCCCAAGAGUUCACAUCGACGGAGUGGUUUGGCACCUCGAUGUCGGCUCAUCGCAUCCUGGGGCUGUAGUAGGUCCCAAGGGUUGGGCUGUUCGCCCAUUAAAGCGGUACGCGAGCUGGGUUCAGAACGUCGUGAGACAGUUCGGUCCCUAUCCGGCGUGGGCGCAGGAUAUUUGAGAGGAGCUGUCCUUAGUACGAGAGGACCGGGAUGGACCGACCGCUGGUGCACCGGCUGUUCCGCCAGGAGCAUAGCCGGGUAGCCAAGUCGGGCAGGGAUAAACGCUGAAGGCAUCUAAGCGUGAAGCCCCCCUCAAGAUGAGAUAUCCCAUGCGAAAGCAAUAAGACCCCUUGAAGACGACGAGGUAGAUAGGUCAGAGGUGGAAGCACAGCAAUGUGUGGAGCUGACUGAUACUAAUAGGUCGAAGGCUUAUCCGA
RNAcentral lists this ribosomal RNA (1448 nucleotides) under metagenome. Its description in RNAcentral is "bacterial LSU rRNA". It matches the Rfam family "Bacterial large subunit ribosomal RNA", at positions 1450 to 2925 of the family's 2925-position model. The record is from RNAcentral.